UGGUUACCAGGAUUAUUGGGCGUAAGCGCGCGCAGGCGGUUUCUUAAGUCUGAUGUGAAAGCCCACGGCUCAACCGUGGAGGGUCAUUGGAAACUGGGGAACUUGAGUGCAGAAGAGAAAAGCGGAAUUCCACGUGUAGCGGUGAAAUGCGUAGAGAUGUGGAGGAACACCAGUGGCGAAGGCGGCUUUUUGGUCUGUAACUGACGCUGAGGCGCGAAAGCGUGGGGAGCAAACAGGAUUAGAUACCCUGGUAGUCCACGCCGUAAACGAUGAGUGCUAAGUGUUAGAGGGUUUCCGCCCUUUAGUGCUGCAGCUAACGCAUUAAGCACUCCGCCUGGGGAGUACGGUCGCAAGACUGAAACUCAAAGGAAUUGACGGGGGCCCGCACAGGGCGGUGGAGCAUGUGGUUUUAAUUCGAAGCACCGCAAAAAACC
This 434-nucleotide ribosomal RNA is filed under the name Priestia megaterium. RNAcentral's name for it is "bacterial SSU rRNA". It matches the Rfam family "Bacterial small subunit ribosomal RNA", at positions 539 to 970 of the family's 1533-position model. The record is from RNAcentral. Lineage: Bacteria; Bacillati; Bacillota; Bacilli; Caryophanales; Bacillaceae.